This 191-nucleotide small nucleolar RNA is filed under the name Jaculus jaculus (lesser Egyptian jerboa). RNAcentral describes it as "Small nucleolar RNA SNORA73 family (ENSJJAG00000006363.1)". It matches the Rfam family "Small nucleolar RNA SNORA73 family". From Rfam's summary of the family: U17 (SNORA73A and SNORA73B) also known as E1 belongs to the H/ACA class of small nucleolar RNAs (snoRNAs). Vertebrate U17 is intron-encoded and ranges in length from 200-230 nucleotides, longer than most snoRNAs. Lineage: Eukaryota; Metazoa; Chordata; Mammalia; Rodentia; Dipodidae. The record is from Rfam by way of RNAcentral.
CCAACGUUGGAUAUCCCGGGAGGUCACUGUCCCUGGGCUCUGUCCAGGUGGCGUAGGGGAGCACAGGAAUGUACAGUCCCUUUCCACAACGUUGGAGAUGAAGCUGGGCCUUGAGUCUGCGCUUGCAUAUUCCUACGACUUCUCAGCCCUGUGGACCAUGACUGAGGAGAUAAACCAUGCAGGAAACAAAC